This 21-nucleotide non-coding RNA is filed under the name Caenorhabditis elegans. Lineage: Eukaryota; Metazoa; Nematoda; Chromadorea; Rhabditida; Rhabditidae. The record is from RNAcentral.
UUUGCAAUUGGAGCAGUGGAA